Molecule: ribosomal RNA, 253 nt
Filed under: uncultured bacterium
Lineage: Bacteria
Description: partial 16S ribosomal RNA
Rfam family: Bacterial small subunit ribosomal RNA
Source: RNAcentral
UACGAAGGGGGCUAGCGUUACUUGGAUUGACUGGGCGUAAAGGGCGCGUAGGCGGUUUGUACAGUCAGACGUGAAAUUCCUGGGCUCAACCUGGGGGCUGCGUUUGAUACGUGCAGACUUGAGUUCGGAAGAGGGUCGUGGAAUUCCCAGUGUAGAGGUGAAAUUCGUAGAUAUUGGGAAGAACACCGGUGGCGAAGGCGGGUCUCUGGGCCGAUACUGACGCUGAGGAGCGAAAGCGUGGGGAGCAAACAGG